CUGGGUGGCCAUGGCGACGGGGCCCACCCCUUUCCAUUCCGAACAGGGAAGUUAAGCCCGUCUGCGCCGAUGGUACUGCCCCACAAGGGUGGGAGAGUAGGCCGCCGCCUUUC
RNAcentral lists this ribosomal RNA (113 nucleotides) under Saonia flava. The record is from RNAcentral. Lineage: Bacteria; Pseudomonadati; Bacteroidota; Flavobacteriia; Flavobacteriales; Flavobacteriaceae.